This 732-nucleotide ribosomal RNA is filed under the name Triticum aestivum (bread wheat). Its description in RNAcentral is "partial small subunit ribosomal RNA". The record is from RNAcentral. Lineage: Eukaryota; Viridiplantae; Streptophyta; Magnoliopsida; Poales; Poaceae.
CGGGGAGCUGCACCACCAAGGCCACCAGCACCUCCUCCCCAUGUCGUUGCUCGUCCGCCCGGGCCGUUGCAGUCCAGCGGUACUGUGGCUGCGCCCCGAGGUCAAUGGGGGGAUGACGGCUACGAUACCUACGGGACUGGUCAGCACCGUGGCUCUUCGUCCACGGGUGGCGGUCGUGGUUAUGCUUGGCAAAGUGAUGGGUCAGUUGAGAGGCCAUUCUUGGGUCCUUCAGGCGGCUUCGUUGAGGGGCCUUCUGAUCCGGGUCUUCGGCAGCGAGGAGGUUUCCGAGGCCAUCGUGGUGGUCGGGGCGGCCGUGGGGGCCGGUACCGUCCACGUCCUCCGCUACCACCUGUUGUUGUCGACCAUAUGGCAGUUGAUGAGACUAUCGAGGAGCCUGUACUGACCGGUCACGCCAUGGAGGUGGUGACGGCUCUUGCUGCGGUUCAGGCUCCUGAGAACGAGGUUAUGACCGAUGUGUCUGCGGAGUUGUCUGAUAUGGCUGAGGCUGAUAGGGCGUCCAAGUGGGCACGCAGGAAGGAAAAGAUGCUUUGUUAUCGUUGCGGCGACAAGGGCCACUUCAUUGCGGAGUGUGUGGCUCUGUUAUGUGAUACCCGCGGUAAACUGGCACAUGACUCUGGGGAAUGUCUGUUACUGCGAAAUCAGGCACCGUCACUCAUGAUGUAUGGAGUUUACUGUGCUGAGUUAACUUUUUUUGAAUCUCCAAAUGAGUGA